Molecule: long non-coding RNA, 269 nt
Filed under: Spirodela polyrhiza (greater duckweed)
Lineage: Eukaryota; Viridiplantae; Streptophyta; Magnoliopsida; Alismatales; Araceae
Description: long non-coding RNA (SPOL_LNC000497)
Source: RNAcentral
AGACAUGAGAUAAAUUAUACUUACGAAUUUUCAUUCAAAAAGGGUCUUGGAGGACAACACGAAAAGCAAGUUGGAGUGCCGAAUGUAUUGAACAGAUGAGGUUCUCCAGUGCGAUUAAAUAAUUACAGGCAUCAUUUAUGUUCAAGCUAUCAUAAAGGAUGCAAUAGAUUUGUCUUUUGACCCUCAAUUAGAGAUAUAUUUUGUUGUGGGCUAUUAGGCCUGACGUAAAAUGAAAACGGCCUGUGGCCCAUUUAUUUAAUGCAUGGCCC